UACAGAGGAGCCAAGCGUUGUCCGGAUUGACUGGGCGUAAAGCGCACGCAGGCGGUCGCGCGCGUGGGGUGUGAAAUCUGGCCGCUUAACGGCCAGGCGCCAUCCCAUACGGCACGACUGGAGUGAUGCAGAGGUCGAUGGAAUUGCCGGUGUAGUGGUGAAAUGCGUAGAGAUCGGCAGGAACAGCCCAGGGGGAAACCAGUCGACUAGGCAUCUACUGACGCUGAGGUGCGAGAGCGUGGGGAGCGAACCGG
This 254-nucleotide ribosomal RNA is filed under the name uncultured bacterium. Its description in RNAcentral is "partial 16S ribosomal RNA". It matches the Rfam family "Bacterial small subunit ribosomal RNA", at positions 524 to 776 of the family's 1533-position model. The record is from RNAcentral.